GGUUCCAUCGUGUAGUGGUUAGCACGUCUGCUUUACACACAGAAGGUCCUGGGUUUGCACCCCAGUGGAACCA
Molecule: non-coding RNA, 73 nt
Organism: Pteropus alecto (black flying fox)
Lineage: Eukaryota; Metazoa; Chordata; Mammalia; Chiroptera; Pteropodidae
Source: Rfam